GAUGAACGCUGGCGGCGUGCCUAAUACAUGCAAGUCGAACGGACAGACGAUGAUCUUGCUCCGCGCACGUUUGCGGCGGACGGGUGAGUAACGCGUGGAUCACCCACCUGUAAGUCGGAUAUAACUUCGGGACACCGGCGAUAAUACGGGAGGAUAUAUUGAACCGCAUGGUUGAAUGGAAAGAGACGGUUUUGCUGUCUCUUCUAGCUGGUUCCGCGCCGCAUGAGCUAGUUGGUAAGGUAACGGCUUACCAAGGCAAGGAUGCGUAGCCGACCUGAGAGGGUGAUCGGCCACACUGGAACUGAGACACGGACCAGACUCCUACGGGAGGCACCAGUAGGGAACGGGCCGCAAUGGUCGAAAGCAUGACGGAGCAACGCCGCGUGAGUGAUGACGACCUUCGGAGCGUAAAACCCGGUUAUGAGGUAAGAACAAAUUUGUAAGGAAAUAUGGACGUAUUGACGGUACCGAAUCAGAAAGCCACGGCUAACUACGUG
RNAcentral lists this ribosomal RNA (497 nucleotides) under uncultured bacterium. Its description in RNAcentral is "partial 16S ribosomal RNA". It matches the Rfam family "Bacterial small subunit ribosomal RNA", at positions 28 to 507 of the family's 1533-position model. The record is from RNAcentral.